AGAAGACAGAGAAAAACAACAAAAUAACAACGUCCAAAAUACACAAGAGUUAAUGUUCAUAUCAUAUCACACUUUUUGAGAGAAAAUGGCCUCUGCUUGUGUCCUCAAGUGAGCACCUGUUCUAAUUUCCAAUGGCCCCAUCUGCAUUGGCUAUUAAAGGAAGCAGCGUGGGGUAUAGCACGCAAUGCUGCCUUCUCCCAGUUUAAGGACAAUAGGUUGGUACCAAUGGUUGAACCUGAGAUCCUCUUUGAUGGGGGGAUCAUGGGAUUGACAUGACUUUUGAAGUAACUCACAAGUUUUGGACAAAGGAAAUGUGUCAUUUGAAGAAAUCCUCCGAAACCAAAAAGCAUGGUUUGGAAUGACCCGAAGCAUAACCUGAACUUGUUUACAAAGUGCAUUGGACUUAAUUUCAAAAUCCGAACUUGUCCUAAUCAACUUCGUGCCAUGCCAAGUUAGUGGGAUACAUUCACUGGUCACAUUCAAGCUCAAUACUACCGUCGAGAUUUUGCUAGUCAAGAAAUGAAAGUGAUAAGUGGAAUAUGUGAUUUAGUAAACAAUUCAACAUUUGAUGAAAUGACAAUCAAUCUUAAUGUGCUUGGGGCAUUCUUGGAAGAUUGAGCUGCGAGUAAUUUGUAUAGCAUGUACUUAUGUAGGAGUUGGGCCAAAAAAAGAGAUAUCCAUAGCACACAUCCAAACAUUUCUGCAAUGGUGGAUGCCAUGACAUGAUACUUGAUUUUUGUACAAGAGCGAGAGAUAAUGGUUUACUUCCUACUCUUUUAAGAAGUGAGAGAAUGAUCUCCUAAAAAAAUGUAAAAGUCUGUGGUGGACUUACAAUUAG
Long non-coding RNA from Glycine soja, 838 nucleotides. RefSeq lists it as uncharacterized. Lineage: Eukaryota; Viridiplantae; Streptophyta; Magnoliopsida; Fabales; Fabaceae. The transcript is spliced from 3 exons. The record is from RefSeq and is a predicted model, not a curated record.